Molecule: ribosomal RNA, 241 nt
Filed under: uncultured Hyphomicrobiales bacterium
Lineage: Bacteria; Pseudomonadati; Pseudomonadota; Alphaproteobacteria; Hyphomicrobiales
Description: uncultured Rhizobiales bacterium partial 16S ribosomal RNA
Rfam family: Bacterial small subunit ribosomal RNA
Source: RNAcentral
CGAGCGCGUAGCAAUACGAGCGGCAGACGGGUGAGUAACGCGUGGGAAUCUACCAUACCCUACGGAACAACUCCGGGAAACUGGAGCUAAUACCGUAUACGCCCUUUGGGGGAAAGAUUUAUCGGGGAAUGAUGAGCCCGCGUUGGAUUAGCUAGUUGGUGGGGUAAAGGCCUACCAAGGCGACGAUCCAUAGCUGGUCUGAGAGGAUGAUCAGCCACAUUGGGACUGAGACACGGCCCAA